RNAcentral lists this ribosomal RNA (253 nucleotides) under uncultured archaeon. RNAcentral describes it as "partial 16S ribosomal RNA". It matches the Rfam family "Archaeal small subunit ribosomal RNA", at positions 748 to 999 of the family's 1478-position model. The record is from RNAcentral.
CAGCCCUAAACGAUGCGCGUUAGGUGUAUCGGUGACCACGAGUCACCGAGGUGCCGAAGGGAAACCGUGAAACGUGCCGCCUGGGAAGUACGGUCGCAAGGCUGAAACUUAAAGGAAUUGGCGGGGGAGCACAACAACGGGUGGGAGCUUGCGGUUUAAUUGGAUUCAACGCCGGAAAUCUUACCGGGACCGACAGCAACAUGAAGGCCAAGCUGAAGACUUUGCCGGAUUAGCUGAGAGGAGGUGCAUGGCG